RNAcentral lists this ribosomal RNA (508 nucleotides) under uncultured bacterium. RNAcentral describes it as "partial 16S ribosomal RNA". It matches the Rfam family "Bacterial small subunit ribosomal RNA", at positions 30 to 523 of the family's 1533-position model. The record is from RNAcentral.
AUUGAACGCUGGCGGCAGGCCUAACACAUGCAAGUCGAGCGGCAGCGGGAAAGUAGCUUGCUACUUUUGCCGGCGAGCGGCGGCCGGGUGAGUAAUGCCUGGGAAAUUGCCCAGUCGAGGGGGAUAACAGUUGGAAACGACUGCUAAUACCGCAUACGCCCUACGGGGGAAAGCAGGGGAACUUCGGGCCUUGCGCGAUUGGAUAUGCCUAGGUGGGAUUAGCUAGUUGGUGAGGUAAUGGCUCACCAAGGCGACGAUCCCUAGCUGGUCUGAGAGGAUGAGCAGCCACACUGGAACUGAGACACGGUCCAGACUCCUACGGGAGGCAGCAGUGGGGAAUAUUGCACAAUGGGGGAAACCCUGAUGCAGCCAUGCCGCGUGUGUGAAGAAGGCCUUCGGGUUGUAAAGCACUUUCAGCGAGGAGGAAAGGUUGAUGCCUAAUACGUAUCAACUGUGACGUUACUCGCAGAAGAAGCACCGGCUAACUCCGUGCCAGCAGCCGCCGUAA